GCGCUGGUGCUGGAACUGGCAGACAGGCAUGGUUGAGGGCCAUGUGUCGCAAGACGUGCGGGUUCGACCCCCGCCCAGCGCA
This 82-nucleotide transfer RNA is filed under the name Anaerolineales bacterium. Its description in RNAcentral is "tRNA-Leu". The record is from RNAcentral. Lineage: Bacteria; Bacillati; Chloroflexota; Anaerolineae; Anaerolineales.